This is a long non-coding RNA of Musa acuminata AAA Group (dessert banana), 1398 nucleotides long. RefSeq lists it as uncharacterized. NCBI's taxonomy places the organism in Eukaryota, Viridiplantae, Streptophyta, Magnoliopsida, Zingiberales, Musaceae. The transcript is spliced from 2 exons. The record is from RefSeq and is a predicted model, not a curated record.
CCCAAAUUGAAUCCGGUGUUUGAUCCGCCGCAACUUGCGGCUGUCGUUGCACCGACUGCUAGAGAUAACUCGGUCACCUCCUCACCUCUCAUUUGUUCGUGUCGCUCCUUCGGUCGGUGACAUUUGCGACGGUCGUGCGACCGCUCGGCUUAGGGCCGUUUUAGCGACGUAUAACGACCUGAAUCAACGAGGACUACUGAUCCAACGGCUGAGAUCAAAUCAAUUUCAUAUAGUCGACCUGUUCAAUCCCCUUCCCCUUUCUCUUCCCUUCCCCAAAACCUAAACCUUACACCCAAUUUUCUCCGCAAGAUCGCUUCUCAUUCGAGGUUUCUGCACUCGUUUAGGUUAAUCUGGUUGGUCCGGUCUCGGUGCGGAUGGUUGUGAUGGAGGAUCUGAUACGGUCGAUCGAGUUGUGGUUGAGAUUGACGAAGAAGCAGCAGCCGCUCGUGGACCCUAAUCUUGAUCCCGUGCUGCUGGUUCCCGGGAUCGCGGAGUCGAUACUGACCGCCGAUGAUAAUGGGAAGGAGGAGCGGAUGUGGGUGCGGAUUAUUAUUGGCGCCGAUCAUGAGUUUCGGGCGAAUGUCUGGUCGGAAUUUGAUCCUUCUACCGGACUCGAUGGCUGUCGGUGGGAGCCUCCUCCAAGAGGUGGCAUCCCUUAAGGAGCGGUACAAUGCAAUUGCCACGUAGUCUCUAGUCGAGUAGGAGCUAGCCCAACGCCAGACCAGGGUUGGCGAAGUGGAGUGUGAGCUCGAGGCCAAGACUACCAUCUUGCGACAGCGAGCGGAGAUAGCACAGAAGGCGACUGAGGUAGCAAAGGCAACAGCAACUUAGGAGUACCAUCGAACCCUAGACGCCGAGGCUGAGGUGGAGCACCUUGGGCAGGAGAACUUCACUUUGAAGAUGGAAGUCGGCAACCUCUACCAUGCAAUUGAUGCCAUGGCUCAGCAAUUGGAGGAGGUGGAUGAUCGAGAAGCAAAGAUCAAAGUAUGUGGGGUAGAGAAGUAUAAGGCUUCUUAGGGCUUCAAGAAGGGAUUAUCAAGGUUGGGGCAUAACUCCUUUGCCUUUAGCUAUGAACUUGUGAUCUCUAAAGUCAAGUACGACCACCCUGACAUCAAGUUCCCCGAGGACCCGGCCUGAUAAGUGCCCCACCAACAGUGAAGUCAUCAUGAUCAGCUCAAGCAACAUCGCCGACCAAAGAAAGAGAACCAUCUACACAGAGGGAGAAGUUAUUGAGUAAUUUUGUUGUUGACUAAUUUAUGUUCUAACAUCAUGUCAUGGAGCCAUGUAUUUCUAUUUUGUUUCUUGAUCCUACUUAUUGGGCCAGGGCAACUUGACACACUUGAAUUAGCAUUAUAAAAAAAAUAGAUUGUAAACAUCUUGAUAUUACUUACAAUUGCA